Molecule: RNA transcript, 5524 nt
Organism: Solanum pennellii
Lineage: Eukaryota; Viridiplantae; Streptophyta; Magnoliopsida; Solanales; Solanaceae
Exons: 2
Source: RefSeq, a predicted model, not a curated record
CUCAAUAAUACACAUUGGUUAUCAAUUUAGAGCAACAUACAAUUUAAGAAUAUCAAUCAUCAUUAGAUAUUAAUGUAAUCAUCACAAGGAGAUGCACAACACAACAAUGGUCCUCCCACGGAAUCCAAUGCAUUGCUUCUCUAAUGAAACCCACACUCAAACAGUUAGCCUACCGUAACAUGGUAUCCGAUCCAAGUUAGUGUGCCGGAAUGUGACAGCCAAUCUCAUGUUUAUUCCAGAACAUGGCAACCGAUCCCAUAUGUUUACUGGAAUGUGGCAAUCCGAUCCAAGUAUUUAUGAUGGAACGUGGACAUCCAAUCCAAGUUAAUUAUGCAAGAAUGUGGAAAUCCAAUGACAUUCACACACCACAAUCAUAAACACAAAUACAUCAUCAAGAUCAUACAACAUAGGUGAUUCAAGGCAUACAAUUAUUCAAUCAUCCCCAUUCACGAUUAGGGGGACAAAAAUUGCAACAUUCGCAUACAUAUAAGCAUUAUGACGAAGCAAUUACAAAAGUAUAUCACACUAACAUGAAAUCACAACCAUUACCUACCUCGAACCCAAGCUUGAAUCCCCUAAGGAACUUGAAUCUUCCCUUUCCGGAUCCUUUCCACUAGUUUUAGGUCUACAACAAUUAAUAUACGCAAGGAUCAACAAUCAAAGGUCUAAUUAUUCGGAUUAUAUCAAACCCAAUAUCCUAAUACCCAAGAUCCAUCCCUUUCCCAUUUCAAGAUUUUUUUCUCUCUCUAUGCUCUCUCUCUCUCUAGAAUUUUGCUCUUAAGGAUUCUGCCUAAUGGUCACUAAGACCGUAAAUAUACAGUUUCACUGGAAUGUCCAUAGAGCCACCGGCGAUGGUCAUAGGACCUCCAGACCAAAGCGGAAAUAUAUUUACUGAGGAGACGCUUCUUCUCCAACAAGAAUCAACCUCAAAUUCCAACCACAACUCCUUUAAUUUUAAUCACAACACAUUGAUCACUGUUCAUCUUUCUGAAGAGAAGUUACAGUGGGCGCAAGAAAUCAUUCCCAUGGCCAAAUCUGGACUGAUUUAGCUUAUUCCAAUUGAUGGAAAGGAAUCUACACUACAAAAUCUUCUAAUAUCUCAAAAUCAGGCGAUUCUAUUUUACCGUUGAAGAGAUCUGAUCAGGCGAAAUUUUGGGGGAGAAUCGCCAAAAUCGCCUUCGAAUUCACAUGAAGUUUCGCUGGAGAUGACUGAGAUUCAGAAGAAACAAAAUACUAAUUUGGAAUCCCCUCAACUCAUCCCAUACAAAUAUGUAAGUAAUACAUAUGAGAACAGAGGAAAUAAAUUUGGCGAAGAUUCAGGCGAACUCGACGGAGCUCGGGCAAAUAAGAAGCUCGAAGAUGGAGCAAAGAACAACACAAAGAGGCAUGGAUGACUAUUUCGCAACACAGCAAAAGUGGAAAUCCACCUAUGAAAUCGACAGUGCAAAUUGACACAAAUUUUAAAAAAAUUCACAAGGCUGACAAUUCACAUGAUGCCACAAAAAUCAAGACAAGAUGCAACAAUUAAACCAAAAUAACAACAAGGAGGUAAGUUCGAAAAGAAUCAAUUUACAAGCUGAAAAUCCAUAUUCGCGCAGGUGAUUAGCAAAACAAAAAUGGGAAAACAGUUGGGAAAGCCAAGGCCAACAACAGCUCCAAUGAGAUUAACAUUCAACAAAUAAGUCAUGGUACAGAGAACCAUCCAAACAACAGUAAGAAGAACAGGACAGGUAUGUUACUUCAUAACUUGCAAAUGCCCCAUGAUCAUAGUAAUACUCCCUGCAAUAAUAAAAAAGUUGCUAGUCAAAAUGAGCAUGAGAAGGGUAAACACAUCGUGCAGGCUGUUGAAAAGGGGCAGUAUGAGCAACAAAAUAACAAGGAAAACAAUAUAGUGGUUCCUAAAAUACCUCCCCCUAUCAAGGUGUCUUCUUACUUUGAUACUUAAUGACAAAACAUGCAAAAAACCAACCAAAUCAACAACUAGCAACAGCAACACAGAUUUCCUACCAACAACUUUAUUAACAGAAACAACACCACCCAAAUCCCUGAUCCCCCCCCCCCCACUGUGGCACAAAUUCGGGAUUUUUGAAAAGUGGUGACAAUAAGGUUUGAAAAUAAAUGGGUGGUGACAUAAGUCUUAAGUACUGGGUGUAGAUGACAAUUAUGUGAUUAAUGAUUAACGAUUGUGGAGUUGCCCUCAAGUUUAUAAGUUGACAGUUUGGUCCACUGAAUAAAAUGAAGGGUAAAAGGGUAAUUUUUCACAAUAUCUAAUUUAACCAACUUUUGUUGGGAAUUAAAUGAGGGGUAAAAGAGUAAAUUGACUAAACCAAACCUAAUUUAACCAAUUUUGGUGGGAAAUAUUGAGCCAAAAGAGGAAAUAAAAGUUUUUCCCCUCGCCUCCAGCCGUCAUAUUCGUCCUCUUCUUCUCUGUCUUCUUCUUUUUCUUCUGCUGUUGUCUUUUCUUGCUUGCUUGUCUUUCUUCCCUCUCUCUUCAUCAUCAUCUUCUUCUUCUUUUCUUACAUUGUGGGUCUUCGCUGCAAGUGCUUGUGCUUUCUUCUUCUUGAAUCAGAUUUACCUAAUCUGUAACUAGUGGACCAAAUUUCGUUUUGUUUCAAUUGGAAUUACGUCAUAAGCGAUUGGGUUACACACCAUUGUUUCUGGUAAGUAAAAUUAAUAGUUAAUUGAAAUCAAUUCACUAUCAUCUGAUCUGGGUGCCUGCAACUUUUUCAAUAAUUUGCAUUCGCGUUUCCAACAUAUUGUUAUAGAUGUUGCAACAGUUGUCUAUUGUAAAAUAUUAUAGUCAUAUGUAGCAACAUAAAUGUUAUUUCAAUUGCAACAGAACAGUCUUGUUAUAAAUUCUUUGUGAAGACCCAGAUCGUCCUGAUUGGCACUCACACUAACCAUCCGGUGGGAGAACCACUACUAUAACCCAAACUAAGCAACUUAACCAAAACUAAGGCAAUUAAAUUAGGAAAGCAAGUUAAUUAACAAAACAAAUGUGGAAUUAAAUACCUAGAACCUGAAAUUCAAUGUACCAAAUCUCAACUAACGACAGGUCUAAGAACAAGUGGUAAAACCCCGAAACUAAACAACACCUUAAAUAAAUAGUUUGAGUCUGAAGAGAGUGGACUUAAAAAAAGACAACUCAAGGAAGCCUGGAAGAACUAGCUCACCCUUUAAUUCGAAACGAUCACUGAUACUCUAAAUGAGGUAUGUUAAUAGCUGUCGAAGGAUGCCCUAUACUCAACAAAAGUAAGAGCAAGUGCAGUAUCAUCACGCACCCACAAUGUACUGGUAGGACUACGCGGCUAUCCCAAUAAGUGAAACACAUGCAAGUAACCACAACAUUAUGAAAUAGGCAUAUACCAAACCUAUACAAUAUCAUUCAUUUUUUCAGUAUCAAUGUAGCAUUCCAUAUUCUUAAUGAUACACAUUGGUUAUCAAUUUAGAGCAACAUACAUUUUUCCAAUAUCAAUCAUCAUUAGAUAUGAACAUAAUCAUCACAAGUAGAUGCACAACACAAUUCAAUGAUCCUCCCACGGACCCAAUUCAAUGGUCCUCUUAUGGAACCCAUACUCAAACUGCUAGCAUACCAGAACGUGGUAUUCGAUCCAAGUUAGUGUGCUGGAACGUGGCAGCCAAUUUCAUGUUUAUGCUGGAACUUGGCAAUCGAUCUCAUAUGUAUGCCAGAACGUGUCAAUCCGAUCCAAUAUUUAUUUUGGAACGUGGCUAUCUGAUCCAAACGUGGAAAUUCGAUGACAUUUACACAUCACAAUCAUAAACACAAGUACAUCAUCAAGAUCAUACAACAGAGAUGAUUCAUGGCAUACAAUUAUUCAAUUAUCCUCAUUUACGAUUAGGGUGAUCAAUUAUGCAACAUUUGCAUACAUACAUGCAUCAUAAUGAAGCAAUUACAAACAUGUAUUACACCGACAUGAAAUCACAACCAUCACCUACCUUGAAUCCAAGCUUGAAUCCCCAAAGGCACUUGAAUCUUCUCUACAUGGAUUCUUUCCACUCGUUCUAGGUCUACAACAAUUAAUAUACGCAAGGAUCAACAAUCAAAGGUCUAAUUAUUCAGAUUAUAUCAUACCCAAUAACCCAAUAUCCUAAUACCCAAGAUCCAUCCCUUUCCCAUUUCAAGAUUUUUUUCUCUUUCUACGCUCUCUCCCUCUCUAAAAUUUUGCUCCUAAGGAUUCUGCCUAAGGGUCACUAAGAGCGUAAUAUACAGUUCCACCGGAAUGGCCAUAGAGCCGCCGCUGACCAUCAUACGACCUCCAGAGCAAAGCGGAAAUAUACCUAUUGAGGAGACGCUUCUUCUCCAACAAUAAACACCCUCAAAUUCAAACCACAACUCCUCGAAUUUGAAUCACAACGUAGUGAUCACUGUUAAUCUUUCUGAAGAGGAGUUACAGUGGGCACAUGAAAUCAUUUCCAUGGCAAAAUCUGGACUAAUUCAGCUUGUUCCAAUUGAUGGAAAAGAAUCUAAACUACCAGAUCUACCUAAUAUCUCAAAAUCACGUGAUUCUAUCUUUCUGUUUGAGAGAUCUGAUCAAGCGAAUUUUGGGGAGAAUCGCCAAAAUCGCCUUAAAACUCAAAUGAAGUUUCGCCGGAUAUGACUGAGAUUCAGGGAUAACAAAAUACUAAUUUGGACUCGCCUCAACUCAGCGCAUUCAAAUAUGUAAGUAAUACCGAUGAGAACACACGAAAUAAUUUCGGCGAAGAUUCAGGCAAACUCGCCGUUGCUCAGGCAAACAAGAAGCUCGAAGAUGGAGCAAAAAUCAACACAAAGAGGCAAGGAUGACUAUUUUGCAACAGAGCACAAGGGAAAUCCACCUACGAAAUUAACAGUGCAAAAUGAGACAAGUUCUAAGAAAAUUCACAACUUUGGUAGUUCACAUGAUGCUCACAAAGAUCAGGACAAGAUGCAAGAAUUGAACCAAAAUAACAACAAGGAGGUAAGUUCCAAAAGAAUCAAUUUACAAGCUGAAAAUCCGUCUUUGUGCGCAGGUGAUCAGCAAAACAUAAAUGGGAAAGCCAAGGCCAACAGCAACUCCAAUGAGAUUGACAUUCAACAAGUCAACCAUGGUACAGAAAACCAUCCAAACACCAAUAACACGAAAAGGACAGAAGCUUCAUCCAUGACAACAACUCAAUCUACAUGUGCCCCAACAAAAAGGAUAUAUAUGGCAACAUAUGUCACAAAAAGAAGAUAUGUGGCAACAUAUGUAACAGAAAGGAGAUAUGUGGCAACAUAUGCCACAGAAAGAAGAUAUGUGACAACAUAUGUCACAGAAAGAAGAUAUGUGGCAACAUAUGUCACAAAAAAAAUAUAUGUGGCAACAUAAGUCACAGAAAGGAGAUAUGUGUCAACAUUUUAUUGUUACCAAUGUGGUGUCUGUGACAACAUAUAUAACAUUGUUGUAAAAAUAUUAUAAAAUUAUAUGCAGUUACCUCAACACAAAGGAUAUAUGUGACAACAGAUGUCACACUAUGAAUUAUCAAAAAGAAUUAAAAAAAUAAA